Molecule: ribosomal RNA, 253 nt
Filed under: uncultured bacterium
Lineage: Bacteria
Description: partial 16S ribosomal RNA
Rfam family: Bacterial small subunit ribosomal RNA
Source: RNAcentral
UACGUAGGGUGCAAGCGUUGUCCGGAAUUAUUGGGCGUAAAGAGCUCGUAGGCGGUCUGUCGCGUCGGCUGUGAAAACUCGGGGCUCAACCCCGAGCCUGCAGUCGAUACGGGCAGACUAGAGUGCGGUAGGGGAGACUGGAAUUCCUGGUGUAGCGGUGAAAUGCGCAGAUAUCAGGAGGAACACCGGUGGCGAAGGCAGAUCUCUGGGCCGUAACUGACGCUGAGGAGCGAAAGCAUGGGGAGCGAACAGG